Long non-coding RNA from Drosophila santomea, 545 nucleotides. RefSeq lists it as uncharacterized. The transcript has 6 exons. The record is from RefSeq and is a predicted model, not a curated record. Lineage: Eukaryota; Metazoa; Arthropoda; Insecta; Diptera; Drosophilidae.
CUUGCUUUACUUUGCGUUAUCUGAUGAGCAUUAACUUUCGCCCCUAUCUGAAAUUGAAACUUCUCAUGUUGAAUGCGAGAUUGGUCUUACUGAAAAUAACGCAAAAUCGGAAAUCUCAUUUGAGUUGCUUGAUUAUCUGCUGACCUCUUAUUAACUUAAUUUUUGUUUCCAUUUCUUGUAGCUUGGAAUUCUACUUUAAGGACAAAGUGGAGCGACAGUGAACAUAAGAUCAGCGGAACAAAAUCUAUAAACGUGCCUCGAAUAAACAUAGGAAUUAAGAUUGGUUAAUCAUGUAACGCGAUAUAUGGACUGAAUUUUCAAUAAAAGAGAUGGGCUCACAAGAGAUUUAUUGAAAAACAUUAAAUACCACAGGAAUUCAUAAAGUUCGCAUGGCAUGUUGUUGAAACAACAAGUUGUGCUUUUGGCGACUUUCCACUGACUUUGCUACAAUUCAAUUCCGUUGCACGCACUUUUUCAGGUACAGCACUGUCCAAAACAUCAUAUUGUUAGAAUCCUUUGAAAAUCAAAUAAAAGAAACAAAAGCA